UGCCUACGGGACGCAGCAGUGGGGAAUAUUGCACAAUGGGGAAACCCUGAUGCAGCAACGCCGCGUGAAGGAAGACGGUUUUCGGAUUGUAAACUUCUGUUCUUAGUGAAGAAAAAUGACGGUAGCUAAGGAGCAAGCCACGGCUAACUACGUGCCAGCAGCCGCGGUAAUACGUAGGUGGCAAGCGUUAUCCGGAUUUACUGGGUGUAAAGGGAGCGGAGACGGCAGUGCAAGUCUGAAGUGAAAGGCAAGGGCUCAACC
Molecule: ribosomal RNA, 261 nt
Filed under: uncultured bacterium
Lineage: Bacteria
Description: partial 16S ribosomal RNA
Rfam family: Bacterial small subunit ribosomal RNA
Source: RNAcentral